This 2780-nucleotide unclassified non-coding RNA is filed under the name Ooceraea biroi (clonal raider ant). RNAcentral describes it as "osmotic avoidance abnormal protein 3, transcript variant X2". Lineage: Eukaryota; Metazoa; Arthropoda; Insecta; Hymenoptera; Formicidae. The record is from RNAcentral.
GUUCCGUACGCAUUGUUACAUGCCGCUUCGAUUAGUCAUGUUAUCAUAAAUAUAAGAUUACAAAGAGACACUUUUAUUAUCGGUAUGUCUGAAUCCGUAAAAGUAGCAGUAAGAUGUCGGCCUAUGUCCAACAAAGAAUUGCAACACGGAUGUCGGAACGUCGUGACAAUCGAUCCAUUAACGAAAUCGUGCACUCUGGAAAGUUCCGGCGGAGGUGGAAAGGUUUAUCAAUUUGACGCCACGUUUAGUCCAUCCUCGACAACGGAAUUGGUCUACGAAGAUGUGGGUUCAGUUAUCGUCGAAGCUGUUUUGGAGGGUUACAAUGGCACCGUGUUUGCCUACGGGCAGACCGGCUGCGGAAAAUCGUUCACUAUGCGAGGUUUCAUCGAGCGUGCUUUGGAGCAUCUGUUCGAGGCAACUUCGACUGCCAGUUCCGAGACAAGAUAUUUAGCGGUAUUGAGUUAUCUCGAGAUCUACAACGAGCGAUUGCGUGAUCUGCUGCAAGACGACACCGGGGAGACCCUGACUCUGAAGGAAGACCCCACGCGGGGUACCUACGUUGCCGGGGGGUUGCGCGAGGUCACUGUGAAGGAUGCGGCCGAGUGCACCGCUCUGGUCCACCAGGGAGAUCAGAGAAGAGCAGCGGCUGCGACGAAAAUGAAUGCUGUCAGUUCGAGAAGUCACGCUGUUCUAACUCUUUCACUUGAGGCAAUCGCCAUCAACGAUGACGAUAAGCGGGGCAACGCGAUCAGGAGAGGUCGACUGCAUCUCGUCGACCUCGCUGGAUCCGAGAGACAAGCUAGAACCGGGGCUACGGGGGAUCGUCUGAAGGAAGCUGCCAGCAUUAAUCUGAGUUUGUCGGCCUUGGGGAAUGUUAUAAGUGCAUUGGCAGCUGGUAACGGAAGACAUGUUCCUUACAGGGAUAGCAAAUUAACGAGGCUGUUACGGGACAGCUUGGGAGGAAACGCGCGGACAUUAAUGAUCGCCUGCGUGAGCCCGAGCGACAUUGAUGGCGAAGAAACACUUAGUACCUUACGCUAUGCUGCCAGAGCUCGGUGUAUCAAGAACAAACCUAUCGUUAAUGAAGAUCCCAAGGAUGCUUUGCUCCGUCAAUACCAGUUGGAAUUGCAACGUCUUCGAAAAAUGUUGGAUUCUGGCGAUCAAUUGAACUUUGGAUUGGACUUUCAGAAGGAUCUGGACGAAGACGGAGAGAGUUUGAGAGAGAAACAAUACGUUGAAGAGGUGGAAAGGUUGAGAAAAGAGUGCGAAAACUCGAACGUAUCAGCUCAGAAGCUAAAGGAGGAACUGGAAGCCUUAAAAUCGCGUUACGAGUCAGGAUUGAAUGUGAUCAGCAAUGGUAAUAAAACCAAUCAAGAACAUCAGGGAAUAGACGAAGUGGAUCAAGAGCGUGCGGAAAGGCGAAGAAAAAAGAGAGAGGCAGCUCUGCAGGAUGUAGUGAAAAAGCUGGAAAAAUUAACGAUUGGUGGAGAAGCGAUCGGCAAUGCAGAGCUGAAGAAAAGAAGAGAGAAGAGAAGGAAGAAACUGGAGGCUCUUGUAGGAGCGCUGGAAGCCAAUGACGCCAACGGCAGCGUUUUUCAAGUGUACGGCCAACUGAGAUCUACCGAAGAUGCGUUGAAGAGGAUGGCAAAGCGAGUAAAACAACUGGAAGCCGAGGCGGCGGAUCUUCAAGCGUCCUGGGACGCCGAGCGUCGUGAACUCCUGCGAAGAGAGCUCUUGACGUCCCAGUUGUGCGACCUUAUGGUGCCCCAUCUUCGGCCAGGUUGUCCGUUUCGAGAUAUCGCGUCAGUGAGGGAAGCGGCAACGUGGUGCGAUGAAUUAGGAAGGUGGCGACUGCCGGAUGUAUCUCCUCGUAUUCCCCUGCCUCCGGCACCUGUGCUACAGAGGGAUAUUCUUCAGUCUACUGGGAGUUCCUCAAAAGCGGAUCUCAAUAACAAUAAUAAUAACAAUGGUAGUAACAAUGAUGAAGAUGGAAAUAGUCAGGAUAAUGAUGAGGAAGAGAAUGAUCGUAAAGUUGUGCGGGCUAAAAAAGGUUGGGAUCUUGUAGAUAGUUAUUUUCGAAGAAGCAGGGUGGACACUCUUCUGGCGCACGCGAGAGAAGCAAAGACUUUCGAGCCGGGCAGUCGAUUAAGCAGAUCUGGCGGAUCGGAAGAUGCAAUGCCAAUCGCAGGUGGUAGCGGCUACCUGCAACUGAAUGCGUUGAAUCUGCAGAGCAGCGCACCGGUAAUCGGCGACAACAGCUACAGCCCGAAUCAGCUCAGAUCAGCAAUGCGUGGCGGCUGGGUUUGUGAUGAACAACCCAAAAAGCCAAUCUAUAACUCUUUCAUGAAUAAUUCAAAGAAGCUUCCCCCACGGAUACUAGAGGCUUUACCCUCGUAUCCUCAAGGCGACGCGUCCUUGAAGACGUCACCCUUCAAGUCAACCCUCGGCACAGCAUUGAAGAGAAUACCCGAUAAAGGCGCGUCUAAAUUGCACAACGACGAUACCUUCGCCGGUCAUCAUCCGUUUCACAUUGGACACGCCUGUUCACCGACCUAUUGAUGAAGGAGCUGAUAGAUGUAAGAAAUUUUAAAAUCUUGGCUGUGCACUGAAGUAAAAACUAGGAGAAACUAGAAGAAAUAUGAUGAGAUUUUUCUUCUUAAUCGCCUUAUCUUUAUACUCGCCAAAAUAAGGACCAAAAUCACACAGAUGUUAUUUCCCAGCUGUGUGUAAGUGUGUGCAUACUUAUUGUAAAUAGUAAAGAAAUAUAUAUGUAAAAUGUA